UGGGUCUAAAACAUUCGUAGCUUGUUUUGUAGGUCUCUUGUGAAAUCUCAUAUCUCAAGUAUGAGGCGUGCAAGAGAUACUGCUUGACUAGAGACUGGAAGACGCAAAGAGUACGAUGAAGGGAGUGGUUAAAUAUGUUAAUCUUCAUCGGACUAACAAUGGCGAAGGCACUUUGCGAGUACAGAUCUGACAGUGAGGAAUGAAGGCUAGGGGCGCAAAAGGGAUUAGAUACCCCUGUAGUCCUAGCAGUAAACACUGCUCACUAAACAUUUGCACCUCCUCGAGAGGUGUUAGUGCUGUAGCGAAGGCGAAGAGUGAGCUACCUGGGAAGUAUAGUCGCAAGACCGAAACUUAAAGGAAUUGGCGGGGAGGCACUACAACGGGUGACGCGUGCGGUUCAAUUGGACUCUACACCGUGAAUCUCACCAGGACCGACAGCAGAAUGAAGGUCAGUCUAGAGGGCUUACCUGACACGCUGAGAGGAGUUGCAUGGCCGACAUAAGCCUGUGCUGUGAAGUGACUUGUUAAAUCAAGUAACAGGCGAGACCCCUGUCUCUAAUUUCUACGAAAGAACACAUUAGAGAGACUGCCUUGGUAACAAGGAGGAGGGUGGGGACGAUGUUAGGUGAGUACAGCCUGAAUGCCCUGGGCAACACGCGCGCGGCAAUGUCACAUUCAAUGAGAUGCGACUCUGAAAAGAGAAGCUAAUCUCCUAACAUGUGGCCUAGUUCAGAUUGAGGUUUGUAACCCAACCUCAUGACGCUGGAAUCCGUAG
Molecule: ribosomal RNA, 775 nt
Filed under: uncultured euryarchaeote
Lineage: Archaea; Methanobacteriati; Methanobacteriota
Description: bacterial SSU rRNA
Rfam family: Archaeal small subunit ribosomal RNA
Source: RNAcentral